CUUCAGGGUUUGUGGAUCAAAGUCAUCCCAGUUUUUCAGAACGCGUCCCAAAGGGGUAUUGGCCUUGGUUAGGGAAUUGCCCAUCUAUAGGAAAAAGAGAAAAAGGCAUCCCUUAUAGCUGGCCAGGAGAAACCUCAUCUUCUAACCCCGCAUUUUGGCUGGCUACGGGAUCGGCAGCCAGAAGCCCUGUCAGUCUCUCGAGCUGCUGGGAGUAGUUGCUCUUACCCAGGCUUGAUCCUACUUCCGAGAGCUGACCUGGUCUUCCCUGAUUUCUCCUACCCGUUUCCCGCCCGUGGGACCUUGGGAGUACAGACUGUGACCUUGAAAGACUCCCAUGGUUGUUGAGGGAUGCAUUAAUUUAAUUUAUCCCAAUAGUAAUUUACGUAUCGAUCAUAAUAAAACCGUUCCUCUUUACAAAUCUAUUUUAAAAGGCUAGCGAAAACCGUUGGCCCCCCCACCCAAGGAUAAAUUGGCCAUUGAAGGGGGGCUAAGAGGGCCAAAGUCGACAUCUAUUCCCCUGCCUUUUUUUCAGCAAUGCCCACGUAAAUAUGUUCCAGCCAUGUGGGUGUCCAUUUCACAGUCACUAGAUUGGUACAAGUUGACAUAUACUGGGCUCAGUGUAGCAAAAUGGCCCCAUGUAUCCCGGUAAAACCCUUCUCAUAUCUUAGUCACCCAACCCUCAUAUGGCACAGGCAUCCAUUCCUCUGCCUUGCAGAAACAACACAAAUGUGGCACGUUUGGAGGCCGGCAGCAAGGACAUUACCAUCAUCUCCCCAGCCUUUGGAUCAAAGGAGGGGCAAUUUCAACCAAGGCUUGAGCAAAUCAACUCAAAAGGGCGUGCUGUCCUGCUCUUUUGGUUAAAAUCAUAGUUUUUUCCAUCUUUUUGGGCAACAGAGGAAGGAAAAAAACUAUUUUUUUUCCCAAAAGCAGACCAACAAUCCAAGAAAACUUUGUCUUUUAACAGAGAGUAAAUCAGAAUUUUAAUCUUAUACCAGUGGUUUCGCUGAAGUGAAACCAACCUGAGCAUCUUAUCAGGCAUCUGAGUUAUCACCACUAGUUUGUCACCUUAGCAACAGGAAAGUUCUAGAAGAGCCAGCCUUGUGGUACCUCCCCACAGAAAGGUUCUGUCUCCCAAAUAGCAGAAGUGCUUCACCCCAACUACGCAGGCCACGGCUUGCAGGGCUCAGGGAUGCCUCCAGCCAGCUGUGGCACCAGGGGCGAGUUCCCUGGCCAGCGAGGCCACUCCAUAAUGAAGAUUAGAUAGGGUCACUUACGUCAUGAGCAAGGAAAGGGCCUGGCUGUGACAGGCUGUCUUAGGAUUCACCAUUGCCGUCCUGGACUGCUAGGCAUGGAACAUCGUGUGACCAACAUGAAGUUCUUCUCCCAGCCCACUGAUGGAGGGUCACGUUCCCCUCCCACAGACAGCAGAAUCCUGCCAGGAGCCCACGCUCAGCAGAGACAUCCUCACCAUCCCCCAUGUUAUCACCAUGACAGCUCAGAGAGAGCCCCAGUGACCUGUGUCACAAUAGGAUCUUGUAGACAUGACUGUGACCUCCAAGCCUGGGUCAUAAAAGACAAUCACCCUGCCAGGCUGUCUCUGAGAGCAGCCAGCCACCAUGCCCUGCAGAUGCCCAAGCAGUCCUGUGGAGAGCCAUGUAUGGAGAGGAACCAGCCGUGUGAGGGAUUGCCGGGGAAGGGAGUCUUCCGGCCUCAGUCACACCUUCAGAUGAGACCACAGCCCCAAACAUCCACCCAACUCCUCCCAAAUUGCUGACCUCCAGAAACCAGGAGAGCUCAUAUGUGUUGAUUGUUAUACGACUGAAUUAUGGACCCAAGACCUCUCUCCCCUGCUGGCUCUCCAAUUCAGUCCGAAGAUGGGGACAGAGACCACGGAAAGGUCACAGCACUUCUAAAUCCUCUGGACUGGAAGUGGCACUUGCUGGACCCACUCAUGUUCCACUGGGCCUUGGACCCCUAACAGCCCGAGAUGAUUCUCUUUGCAGUGGCCCCAGCAGCCCCCUGAGAUGCAACGCAACGUCCCCGGUCAGCAGGGGCAGCCACUAUAGCCCUCAGUGAUCCAGCCCAAAGCCCAUCAGCGCUGUGGCCGAGACUUGGGCUGCAGAGGCUGGAAUGUGGCCUCUGAACUGCCUGCUGUGCACAGAGAAGGAAGAACAUGAAAACGUGAGCAAUGAAGCCAACAAUAACCCAUCAUUUAAAUCCUGCUUCUCACACUUUGUCUUGGAAACAAAAGUGAUCCAAGGAAUUCAUGCCCAGUCUCCACCCAACAGAACCCUGCUGAGGCAUCGAUGGCCUUGCAGAUCCUCUCCAGCAGGGCCUCCCAGGCUGGUGUGGUUCCUCCACGAGAAAUGUGAAAUCUUCUGUCACCAUAUACAUUUGGGAAAUGCCAGGAGCAUCUCCUCGGGAUUCAGCCCCAAAACGGAUGGGCAUGCGCACUGGGCAGGACCGAGCAGCGGAAGCUGAGUGCCAAUGUGAGUGUAAGUGGUCGGGCCACCUGGCAAGCAUCUGGCAGCUUCCCCUGGAGGGAAGCACUCACCUGGCCUAUUAACCGGGACAAAUGAAAAUACAUGCCCCCCACCCCCACCAAGGCUACCUGCCCCUGUUUGGACAAUCACCUGUCUGGACAAGGAGGCCAGCACAUCCUGCAUGUUGGUGGGGGGGGGGGGGUUGGGGACUCAAGCCCCGGAGUGUCAAGGGCACAGCGCUGGCUGCCAUCCGCCUCUGCCCACUGGGAAUGCUCCGGGGAGGGGCCUCUAACCAGACUUGAUAGAACAUAUAGACUGCACACUUUUGUGUGGACCCUUGACACUCAGAACCAUGUCUCAGAGAUUCAUCUGUUUCCUGGCGUGGACCCUUCAUUUUCUGGGGCUGAGUGGUGUUCUACCACGUGAACACUCCGGGAUUCCUUUGUCCGCUUGGAUGGUUCUUAAUUUGAGGUUACAAUAUAGCUGCUAUGAACAUUC
Acinonyx jubatus (cheetah) is the source of this 2981-nucleotide long non-coding RNA. RefSeq lists it as uncharacterized. The record is from RefSeq and is a predicted model, not a curated record. The transcript has 7 exons. Lineage: Eukaryota; Metazoa; Chordata; Mammalia; Carnivora; Felidae.